Molecule: non-coding RNA, 21 nt
Filed under: Caenorhabditis elegans
Lineage: Eukaryota; Metazoa; Nematoda; Chromadorea; Rhabditida; Rhabditidae
Source: RNAcentral
UCCAAGGAGUUUUCGUAUUUC